RNAcentral lists this unclassified non-coding RNA (202 nucleotides) under uncultured Ochroconis. Its description in RNAcentral is "sequence contains ITS2". Lineage: Eukaryota; Fungi; Ascomycota. The record is from RNAcentral.
CAAACUCCAAGCUGUGGCUUGAUGUUGGAUGCUGUCUUUUUGGUGAAAGGAGAGACACAUCUGGAACGUGUGGGCGCCGCCGCCAGACCACGAGCGUAGCAAGACGAAAGUCAGUCGUUCGAUUUGGAUCUGUCUGUGGUUGUCUGUCUGUCGGGGUCUGUUCUUUGGAAUUCUGAAGAACAGGCGACGUACAACACCCAAA